This 262-nucleotide unclassified non-coding RNA is filed under the name uncultured fungus. RNAcentral's name for it is "partial contains small subunit ribosomal RNA, internal transcribed spacer 1, and 5.8S ribosomal RNA". The stretch from base 1 to 73 matches the Rfam family "Eukaryotic small subunit ribosomal RNA", at positions 1759 to 1831 of the family's 1831-position model. The record is from RNAcentral. Lineage: Eukaryota; Fungi.
UCAAACUUGGUCAUUUAGAGGAAGUAAAAGUCGUAACAAGGUCUCCGUUGGUGAACCAGCGGAGGGAUCAUUAUAGAGUUUUUAAAACUCCCAAACCCGUGUGAACAUACCUGUCUCGUUGCCUCGGCGCGGUUUUUUAUGAGCCCGCCGGCGGCCCUCACAAACUCUGUUUAAUAUAAAGGUUAUCUGAGCGUCAUUUAAAAAAUAAGUCAAAACUUUCAACAACGGAUCUCUUGGUUCUGGCAUCGAUGAAGAACGCAGC